Molecule: ribosomal RNA, 473 nt
Filed under: uncultured bacterium
Lineage: Bacteria
Description: bacterial SSU rRNA
Rfam family: Bacterial small subunit ribosomal RNA
Source: RNAcentral
ACUCCUACGGGAGGCAGCAGUAGGGAAUCUUCCACAAUGGGCGCAAGCCUGAUGGAGCAACACCGCGUGAGUGAAGAAGGGUUUCGGCUCGUAAAGCUCUGUUGUUAAAGAAGAACACGUAUGAGAGUAACUGUUCAUACGUUGACGGUAUUUAACCAGAAAGUCACGGCUAACUACGUGCCAGCAGCCGCGGUAAUACGUAGGUGGCAAGCGUUAUCCGGAUUUAUUGGGCGUAAAGAGAGUGCAGGCGGUUUUCUAAGUCUGAUGUGAAAGCCUUCGGCUUAACCGGAGAAGUGCAUCGGAAACUGAAUAACUUGAGUGCAGAAGAGGGUAGUGGAACUCCAUGUGUAGCGGUGGAAUGCGUAGAUAUAUGGAAGAACACCAGUGGCGAAGGCGGCUACCUGGUCUGCAACUGACGCUGAGACUCGAAAGCAUGGGUAGCGAACGGGAUUAGAUACCCUGGUAGGCUAGCG